RNAcentral lists this ribosomal RNA (500 nucleotides) under uncultured microorganism. RNAcentral's name for it is "bacterial SSU rRNA". It matches the Rfam family "Archaeal small subunit ribosomal RNA", at positions 234 to 734 of the family's 1478-position model. The record is from RNAcentral.
AGUGGGUGUAAUGUACCUACUAGCCUACGACGGGUACGGGUUGUGAGAGCAAGAGCCCGGAGAUGGAUUCUGAGACACGAAUCCAGGCCCUACGGGGUGCAGCAGGCGCGAAAACUUUACAAUGCGGGAAACCGUGAUAAGGGAAUCUCGAGUGCCAGCAUAUAAUGUUGGCUGUCCAGAUGCCUAAAAAGCAUCUGUUAGCAAGGGCCGGGCAAGACCGGUGCCAGCCGCCGCGGUAACACCGGCGGCCCGAGUGGUAACCGCUAUUAUUGGGUCUAAAGGGUCUGUAGCCGGCCAGGUAAGUCCCUUGGGAAAUCUGGCAGCUCAACUGUCAGGCUGCUAGGGGAUACUGUUUGGCUUGGGACCGGGAGAGGUGAGAGGUACCUUGGGGGUAGGGGUGAAAUCUUGUGAUCCUCGGGGGACCACCAGUGGCGAAGGCGUCUCACCAGAACGGGUCCGACGGUAAGGGACGAAAGCUAGGGGCACGAACCGGAUUAGAU